RNAcentral lists this long non-coding RNA (1150 nucleotides) under Homo sapiens (human). Its description in RNAcentral is "HSALNT0311153". The record is from RNAcentral. Lineage: Eukaryota; Metazoa; Chordata; Mammalia; Primates; Hominidae.
GUCCAGUCCCUGGAAGAUGAAGUUAGUUAGCAUUUGGUGCCCAGCCAGCAGCAAUGUGACUUAGGCUUUUCGUCCUAGUAGGAAUUUGACUCAUUGGGCCUGCAAAAGAUUUUCGUGACAAAUGAAAUAUUUUUCUAAACCAAGGACUUGGGGAUAACUUCAGGGUCAAAGACAUCUUAUCAUAUUUAAGAACAGCCACAGGAUGUCUAGGAGCCAGCAGAGGGGCCAGAUAUGCUGCAGUUUAUGCUGUAAAAGGAAGCCUGCCGCCGUGAGUGGUCCAGUGGGAGCUCUUGCUUUGUGUCCUCAGCCUUUCACCUUUCCAUCUGAUGACUUGCUCUGAAUCUUCACUUCCUGGGCAGAGCUCUGAGUAUAGAUGAGGCAAACUUCACAUGGAAAAGAAGCCAUAUUUUGAAAAAACUACACGGAAUCAAAGAGAACUAACUCAAAGAAGCAAAAUUUUGGAGAUAAAACAAGCACCAUUCAGAAUCUGGACAUAUAAUAUGUUUAUGGCAUUUAACCUAGUCAGACAGUAGAUAUUGCUCUAAGUCAUGGCCUACACCUGUGAGCCUACUUAUAUCAGCAUUUGCCAAAUGUACUUGUAGCUGUGGUACUGACCUCAGAGAACUUAGCCAAAGAGCAAAGACUGCCUAAUUCAAGAAGUACUGGCUGUACAGGAAGCAUAAUGCCAGCAUCUGUUUCUGGUGAGGCCUCAGGAAGCUUUUACUUAUGGUGGAAGGUGAAGGAGGAACAGGUGUCUCACAGGGCAAGAGGAGCAAGAGGGAGCAGAGAAGAUGUUCCAGGAUUACUUCAUGCUGUCCAGGUCCUAGACAUGGAAUCGUUUGCUUCUUCAAAAGUCUGGAUCCCUUUAAGAUACGAAAUGUAUUUAGAAACCAAAGUAUGGAUGCUAGGUGUGCUCAUGGCCAUUGGAGUGUGUUUCUAGACCCAGGAAUAAGCAAACAAUGGCCUGUAAACUAUAUCCUGUCUGUGGCCUGUUUUUGUACAUCCUAAGAACUAAAAAUUAUUUUAAAAAUUGUAAAUGGGAAAAAGUCAACAACAACAAACAAAUCAACAAAUAACCCCACAAAUAAACAGUUUCUUAAAGACCAGAAUGACCAAGAAAUCUAUGAAACAGAGACCGUAUACUGCCCAG